This 2040-nucleotide long non-coding RNA is filed under the name Helianthus annuus (common sunflower). RNAcentral's name for it is "hypothetical non coding rna". The record is from RNAcentral. Lineage: Eukaryota; Viridiplantae; Streptophyta; Magnoliopsida; Asterales; Asteraceae.
AAACUAAAUCCUUUUCCUUAACUCACAGAACUCGACACCACCACAACAUCAUUUCCUACCACCCACACACUCGCCGAAAUCUUGCCGGAGAUGUGAAGCCGCCGCCAGAACACAUCGAGCAUUCACAUCUCAUGUUCGAUACUCAAGCCUUGUAAUCGUCACCGUCACUCAACCAUAAUCCUUCUCUGUUCGUCUACCCCGCCUCCUCGCAAACCCGCAACGGAUAUCACCUCGCAACACGCCGGAGAACGGAGAAGAUGACUGGAAACCCACGGCGUUCCUUUACGUGUUCAUGUGUUCUACAUCGGAGACCUCGCCAGAACCGGGUUCGCGUCGGGCUUAACUGUUGGCCACGUUUCACGUCUGUCUCUUUUCCACUCAAUAAACGCUACACCUAAAAGACAAAGCCGAGGCCGGAACUUGUAUCGUCGCCGGGGACUCACUCGUCUUGCGUUAGGUAUAAAUUUUCUUGUCCAUUUUGAUUUUCGUUUAGUCAUCAGUCGAUAUUUACUUCAUUCUAACUCUCUUAUAUUGUUUAAACAACAAAACAUGUGAGUUUCACAACUCACAGUUUACGUAUGUUUAUUUAUUUUUUUUUAUUUUUUUUUAUAAGGAAGAUGACAAAAUGUUAAUAAAAUCAAGAUCCUUGUUAUGAAAUUGUAAAGUUUACUACAACUGCCUUCAUUCCAUUGAAUUCAUUACUUAUUUGUUACUACUGUUGGGUUUUUAGCAAAAGCAAAGGAAAUAGUGGGAUGGGUUUUCUUUGAGUUGGGAAAGUGUUAUGGAAGAAGAUGGUGUUACUGUUACUGUGUAUACAUAUGAAAUUAAAAAAAAAACAUAAAAGUUUCCAAACUAUUAUACCUUUUUUCCUUUUUAUCUCUACUCAAAAAUCUUUUUCCUAAUAUUAUUUUCACAGAUGUGUUAUCCAACAAAAUAAUAUCCAAAACAAAUAUUAACAUUUUUUUUAUGAAAGGAGAAUUAUUCUACUUGAUUCAGUCAUUAAGCCAUUCAAAUGAAUAAAUAUCUAUUUACUUUUAUUAUUAAUGUUUUAAGUUUUGGUUUGAUCCAUGCGCCUCACGUGUCUGGCUAGAGUUUUCUUUUGUUUUUUUUACAUAUAUAUUCAUUAUUUUAUCACAACACUCUUUUAAUAAACAAUUAUUUUGUUAACACAAUUUAUUUACAAUUGACUAUCUAUCAAAAAUAACUUAAUAAAAGUAAAACAGUUUAUUUAAAACCAUAUUUUUAUAACUAAUUAAGCAAAGUUUAUUAAUCAAAUAAAUCAAUAAUUCAACUUUAUAACAUAAUUAGGCCCUUAUAAAUUAGAAAUUGUUAUUUAACUAGAUCGUUAUGUGGUAUUUCAAUAUCUAGGAUAAUCUCUUUGCUCGUUCUCUUGGAUUUUCUUAAAUCUUUACUCGUGCGAUAAUUCAAGGGAUUCUCAUACGCAAUCAAAGUGAGUAUACUCGAUCCCUUUUUGUUUUAAACACUUUUGGGAUGCAACAUGUAUUCUAUAUCAAAAACACUUGACACUUGACACUCGAAACUUAUUUGAAACAUACUCUAUCCAUUUAAACAUGAAACAUGAAACUUGUGAUACUUGAGACUUUUAUGCUAUGUGAACGUUUAAUCCCUGUGUGUAGUUCCGCCUUAACAAUGGUAGCGCUAUAGGGGUAAUGCACCUCCCCGUUAGUCUUUGGGGUAUUGUUAGGAUGAGACAUAUAACCUCCCGUUAAACUUUGGGAAAGGCACUUAACGCAUUGGAAACUUGGGCUAUCACUUGGACUGCGUUAGCUAGCAUGGUGAAACUUGUUAUAUGUUUGUGUGUUGGAUAUGAGUUUUUAAACUUUUAAACUAUUAUGUUAUAUAUUCAAACUUGUAUGCUCGCCAACAUUUUUUUGUUGACAUUAUUUUAAUACAUGUUGCAGGUUGAUAGACGCAGUGAUUAAGAAAACAAGCUAGGAUGAACCUAGAAACCCAUCUAGAAUAAGCAAUGUCUUGAAUUAUUUUUGAUAAAAUUUUGUUAUGUUUGAAUCUUUGUUAUGA